Molecule: long non-coding RNA, 245 nt
Filed under: Capsicum annuum
Lineage: Eukaryota; Viridiplantae; Streptophyta; Magnoliopsida; Solanales; Solanaceae
Description: long non-coding RNA (CANN_LNC008531)
Source: RNAcentral
GGGGAUGUCAGUUAGAUGAUUACCUCCCAUAGUUCCAAUUUUGGUAUUCAGUCUUAUUAUAGAACUCAAUUCAGUUCUACAGAAUCAGGACUGUUAAACACAGUCACCAAGUUAUCAAAAAUUUAGUUAUCAGAGAUCUCAGAUAUCAGUUACUCAGUUAUAAAAAAUUUGUUCUCAGCUUCAUUAAAAGAUCAGAUACAAUAUAUACAAUAUACACGUAUAUGCAUAGUAUUGGAUACUCAAUA